CAGAGAUUUUUGAUGUCAUCAAUUGUGUCCUUUGUGCCUAUAUCCGAUGUAAGGGUCAUGAACUUUAGGCUCUGUAAUAACAGAGAAGAAUGCCGGGUGAAGAAAAGGGCUUCUAUUGGCUAGCCUGGGCGAACCCACCCUUUCCCAGCGAGAGAAAUUGCUGACAAGUGAGCUUUCCAAAGUGUCAGGAAUCCUGUAAAAUGGAUAACGACAUUAAUAGAAAUUGAAGGAAAGACAACCAGUAACAAGAUUGCUGGAUCCCAGGAACUUUAUGCCGUUGAUGCUUUGAUAUAUACAUUAUUCAAUAAAAUACAUGAAUAAUAUGAAUUAAUUUUUUGGAGCAUUGCAUGAGAUGUGUAAACUUUAUAAAACCACCCUGAAGGAGCAGAACCUUGUGAUGAAGACAUUACUCCUAAAGAGGCAGUUGCUGUGAUUGUUCAAGAGGCAGGAGCUGCAGCAUCUUCAGAAGAAGGAGCCUGAUGCCUCAUGUUGCUCCACAGAUGUUGCUUCUUGGGAUGGAGGCUUCAGGAUGUGGGCUUGAAAUAGAAUUAGUCAACUGGGAACUGGGAAGGAGGAAUGCUACAAUAUCUACACUGUGGCUAGCCUGUACAAUGUAUGAAAGGUCUCAAUGGCCUAGAUAA
Molecule: long non-coding RNA, 641 nt
Filed under: Monodelphis domestica (gray short-tailed opossum)
Lineage: Eukaryota; Metazoa; Chordata; Mammalia; Didelphimorphia; Didelphidae
Description: lncRNA (ENSMODG00000042667.1)
Source: RNAcentral